AUUGAACGCUGGCGCCAGGCCUAACACAUGCAAGUCGAGCGGAUGAAGGGAGCUUGCUCCUGGAUUCAGCGGCGGACGGGUGAGUAAUGCCUAGGAAUCUGCCUGGUAGUGGGGGAUAACGUCCGGAAACGGGCGCUAAUACCGCAUACGUCCUGAGGGAGAAAGUGGGGGAUCUUCGGACCUCACGCUAUCAGAUGAGCCUAGGUCGGAUUAGCUAGUUGGUGGGGUAAAGGCCUACCAAGGCGACGAUCCGUAACUGGUCUGAGAGGAUGAUCAGUCACACUGGAACUGAGACACGGUCCAGACUCCUACGGGAGGCAGCAGUGGGGAAUAUUGGACAAUGGGCGAAAGCCUGAUCCAGCCAUGCCGCGUGUGUGAAGAAGGUCUUCGGAUUGUAAAGCACUUUAAGUUGGGAGGAAGGGCAGUAAGUUAAUACCUUGCUGUUUUGACGUUACCAACAGAAUAAGCACCGGCUAACUUCGUG
This 484-nucleotide ribosomal RNA is filed under the name uncultured bacterium. RNAcentral describes it as "partial 16S ribosomal RNA". It matches the Rfam family "Bacterial small subunit ribosomal RNA", at positions 30 to 507 of the family's 1533-position model. The record is from RNAcentral.